Molecule: ribosomal RNA, 451 nt
Filed under: uncultured bacterium
Lineage: Bacteria
Description: bacterial SSU rRNA
Rfam family: Bacterial small subunit ribosomal RNA
Source: RNAcentral
GAUGAACGCUGGCGGCGUGCUUAACACAUGCAAGUCGAACGAACCUUCGGGUUAGUGGCGGACGGGUGAGUAACGCGUGAGAAUCUGCCCUCAGGAGGGGGAUAACGGCUGGAAACGGCCGCUAAUACCCCAUAUGCCGCGAGGUGAAAUGAAUUUCGCCUGAGGAUGAGCUCGCGUCUGAUUAGCUAGUUGGUGGGGUAAAGGCCUACCAAGGCAUCGAUCAGUAGCUGGUCUGAGAGGAUGAUCAGCCACACUGGAACUGAGACACGGUCCAGACUCCUACGGGAGGCAGCAGUGGGGAAUUUUCUGCAAUGGGCGAAAGCCUGACAGAGCAAUACCGCGUGAGGGAUGACGGCUUUCGAGUUGUAAACCUCUUUUAUCAAGGAGGAAGUUCUGACGUUACUUGAUGAAUAAGCAUCGGCUAACUCCGUGCCAGCCGCCGCAGUAAAAC